AAAAAUAUGUAUAUAUACAACAAAGCCUCCAGCCUUAAUUUUAUUCAUUAUAGCUUUACAAGCUGCUACAAAAAAAUGGCUAUGAAUAUUUUACUGAAA
Molecule: long non-coding RNA, 99 nt
Organism: Limulus polyphemus (Atlantic horseshoe crab)
Lineage: Eukaryota; Metazoa; Arthropoda; Merostomata; Xiphosura; Limulidae
Exons: 3
Source: RefSeq, a predicted model, not a curated record